Molecule: ribosomal RNA, 433 nt
Filed under: uncultured cyanobacterium
Lineage: Bacteria; Bacillati; Cyanobacteriota
Description: bacterial SSU rRNA
Rfam family: Bacterial small subunit ribosomal RNA
Source: RNAcentral
GAAUUUUCCGCAAUGGGCGAAAGCCUGACGCAGCAACGCCGCGUGGAGGAUGAAGGCCCUCGGGUCGUAAACUCCUGUCAGUGGGGACGAAUGCUUCGAAAGAAGUUUGACUGUACCCGCUAAGGAAGCCACGGCUAACUCCGUGCCAGCAGCCGCGGUAAUACGGAGGUGGCAAGCGUUGUUCGGAAUUACUGGGCGUAAAGGGCGCGUAGGCGGCUUGGCAAGUCAGAUGUGAAAUCCCCGAGCUUAACUUGGGAAUUGCAUCUGAAACUGUCGAGCUUGAGUCCUGGAGGGGAUAGUGGAAUUCCCAGUGUAGCGGUGAAAUGCGUAGAUAUUGGGAGGAACACCUGCGGCGAAGGCGGCUAUCUGGACAGUGACUGACGCUGAGGCGCGAAAGCUAGGGGAGCGAAAGGGAUUAGAUACCCCUGUAGUC